Priapulus caudatus is the source of this 100-nucleotide long non-coding RNA. RefSeq lists it as uncharacterized. The record is from RefSeq and is a predicted model, not a curated record. The transcript is spliced from 3 exons. Lineage: Eukaryota; Metazoa; Priapulida; Priapulimorpha; Priapulimorphida; Priapulidae.
UUUUGGGAGUGAAAAGAUGGCGGACGUGUAGCGUCACUGACACGUAGCCAAUGCCCUAUCCAGAUUAUAUUAUAGAGAUCAGUGAUCCACACGUAUAGAU